UACUUUUAGCAAAAAGGAAAUUCACAAUUCUGGACAGGUUAUGGUUUUAAUCAAAACUAGCAAUUUUCCUAAUCAGUUCAUUCGAUAUUCAAACAAUUAAUCACACUAUGGAAACUUGUUUAUCAAUCGAUUUAUGCAAAAAGGAAAAUUAGGGUUUUAAGCAAUUUAACAAUUUUAAGAUCAAAUUCUAUUCUAAACAGUUCUAUUUACUCAAACA
RNAcentral lists this long non-coding RNA (217 nucleotides) under Brassica napus (rape). RNAcentral describes it as "long non-coding RNA (BNAP_LNC019922)". The record is from RNAcentral. Lineage: Eukaryota; Viridiplantae; Streptophyta; Magnoliopsida; Brassicales; Brassicaceae.